GGUGACGUACGACGUAUACGUAACCUUACGUUGACUAGGGGGAUAACAUCGAGAAAUUGGUACUAAUACCCCAUAACAUCACCGGAGGCAUCUUCGGUGGUUGAAAACUCAGGUGGUCAGAGAUGGACAUGCGUUGUAUUAGCUAGUUGGUGAGGUAACGGCUCACCAAGGCGACGAUACAUAGGGGGACUGAGAGGUCAACCCCCCACAUUGGUACUGAGACACGGACCAAACUCCUACGGAAGGCAGCAG
This 252-nucleotide ribosomal RNA is filed under the name uncultured bacterium. RNAcentral describes it as "partial 16S ribosomal RNA". It matches the Rfam family "Bacterial small subunit ribosomal RNA", at positions 100 to 354 of the family's 1533-position model. The record is from RNAcentral.